UAUUAUUAUCCGGAAUAUGUAUUGAACAAAAAUUUCAUACAUUUACACCGAACCAUGUAAAUGCACUUCACCAUAUUGUAGGAUUCCAAGGAAAAUGAAAUUUAAUUGAACAGUAGUUUUUAAAGAUUUGUAAGCUGACAAACAUACACAUUACCUAAGAAUAACUACAAAAGAUAAGCACGUACAUUAAAGAUUUGUUUAUUUUGUAAAUUCCAAAUAUUGAGGGUAAACAGGCCGAAGAGUCAGUCAACACAAUAUUAUUUUCGAUUGCUGAUAAAAACAUUUGAAUUGGAGAAAAGUAGAAGGGAAAAAUUUUAUAGUUUAAUAUGAUUUUAUUUGGAACAUUAUGAAACAGAGAAAAUAUUUUCAACAAUAAUGCCACAAAAUACUCCAAAGUGAAAAAGUAAAGUGGAUCAAAUGAACUACUGCACAUAUUUUUAUCUCUAUGUGAAUUGAAUAGCUAAAAAGAAGAAAAAUUAUUUCUAAAUGGUACCAGUAUGUUUCCUCAUAUGAGUUCGCAAUUCUGAUGGUCUACAAAACUUUUUCGGACAAAGAUGACAUUGUUCAGUACGACCUGUAUGAAUUUUCAAAUGUGUUGAUAAAAUACUGCGUUGUAUAAAUGCCUAAAAUGAAAUGAAAAACAUUAUAACAAAAUAAGUUAAGUAGUGGUAAAUAUAAUAAAUUAUCAUACUUUUCCGCAAAAUUUGCAUUUGUAGGGCUUUUCACCGGUAUGAGUCCUUUCGUGUUCCUGAAGAUGUGCUUUGGUUACGGUAGUAACGUCGCAAUAUCUACAUUUAAACGGUGUAUCUUUGGUGUGUCUUCGUAGAUGUAUCGUUAAAUAUGACUGAUUUCUAAAAAAUAUAAUUUUCUAUGUAUAUAAAUAAAUAUUUUGAUAUUAGUCAUAAGCAAAAAAUCAUAAAGUUUGGAUUUUUUAGAGCACUUGUUCUCGUUAGAAUUAAAAUGAAACUUUACUUGAACUGUUUCCCACAAUAAGUACAAAGGCCUCUUAUGUUAUCUCCUUUAUUAUGUUGGGCUUUUAUGUGUUUAUCCAUGUCACCUACUGUCUCGUUGCAAUCAAUGCAAAAUUUAUCGAAAUCUGAUUUAGUAACUCUAAAAAAUUAAAUAAUCACCAACAAAAAUAAUUAGUUCAAUUAAACUUAAAUUUAAGGAUGUUUUCGUCUUUUUUUUGGUCUAUGUAGUCUAUGUAGGAAAAAAUUGAAUAGCAACGAUUUUAAUGACAAAAUAUUAUCAAUAAAGAAAAUCGGUGAUUA
Diorhabda sublineata is the source of this 1271-nucleotide long non-coding RNA. RefSeq lists it as uncharacterized. The record is from RefSeq and is a predicted model, not a curated record. The transcript is spliced from 3 exons. Lineage: Eukaryota; Metazoa; Arthropoda; Insecta; Coleoptera; Chrysomelidae.